Molecule: ribosomal RNA, 468 nt
Filed under: uncultured bacterium
Lineage: Bacteria
Description: partial 16S ribosomal RNA
Rfam family: Bacterial small subunit ribosomal RNA
Source: RNAcentral
GACGAACGCUGGCGGCGUGCUUAACACAUGCAAGUCGAACGGAAAGGCCCUGCUUUUGUGGGGUGCUCGAGUGGCGAACGGGUGAGUAACACGUGAGUAACCUGCACUUGACUGUGGGAUAAGUUCAGGAAAGUGGGGCUAAUACCGGAUAGGAGCUCCUGCUGCUUGGUGGGGGCUGGAAAGUUUCGGCGGUUGGGGAUGGACUCGCGGCGUAUCAGCUUGUUGGUGGGGUAGUGGCUUACCAAGGCUUGGACGGGUAGCCGGCCUGAGAGGGUGACCGGCCACAUUGGGACUGAGAUACGGCCCAGACUCCUACGGGAGGCAGCAGUGGGGAAUAUUGCACAAUGGGCGGAAGCCUGAUGCAGCAACGCCGCGUGCGGGAUGACGGCCUUCGGGUUGUAAACCGCUUUCGCCUGUGACGAAGCGUGAGUGACGGUAAUGGGUAAAGAAGCACCGGCUAACUACGUG